Puntigrus tetrazona (Sumatra barb) is the source of this 79-nucleotide non-coding RNA. NCBI's taxonomy places the organism in Eukaryota, Metazoa, Chordata, Actinopteri, Cypriniformes, Cyprinidae. The record is from the annotation of a RefSeq genome assembly.
GCAUUCCUUGGUGGUUCAGUGGUAGAAUUCUCGCCUGCCUGCCACGCGGGAGACCCGGGUUCGAUUCCCGGCCAAUGCU